UCCGCCAGCCUGGAGGGUGGCCUGAGAUUAUGUAGGUGUGGGACCUUGAAGGCCACCUCAGUCCAGCCAGAUCGCUAGCCAGGCCACAGCCCACAGCGCACAGGUGCGGCCUCUGCCAUUCACAGGCCCUCGCCAGGAACCAAAGCCGGCCUCCUUUGCCAUAGCCAAUCCUCCUCAGGGCAGCCAGGCCCACAGGCCUCAGGACUACAGGUAGUCUCUCCGAUUUCACAGUUCCAAAGCCAGAGCGUUCCCUGAACCAGCGUGUGCCCCCAGGGCGCCUUGGGACCCGCAGCUUGGACAGAAGCAGCCGUGACGUGCCAGGCGGCCUGUGCAACCAGUCUCCAUGGUGCUGGAGUGGGCGUAGGGGGAGGACCCGAGUCUAUACCGGCGUCCAGCUGCGGUCAGGGGUGGCCGAGGCAGAGAGAUUUCCCGGCCAAAUAGGCUCAGGGUGAUCGCCCCCCAGGUCCCCCUUCGUCCCCCUCUCCCCUGCUUGCUAGAAAUCUCUGAGGGGCCCUACAGCAGUCGGCCAGGCUGUAAGAGGCAGGCUGCGGCUGGCGCCGGUCCCGGCGACCGCCACAGCGUGGCAGCAGCGAGCGCCAGCGCGGUCGCAAUAAAUAAUCCGCCCGCGGCAGCCGCAGUCAGGAAGCCAGAGGCCCUAGGAUGCAAAUACGCCGCUUUACCCGCUCUGAGCGCACCCAGAGCACAGGGGAACGUCCCAAACAUCCACAGCCCCUUCCUCUUUAUCUAAUGCAUACCAAGAUAUUGUCUCAAGAUGGGGAAACAACAACCCAAACCAAAAACAAACAAAAAGAACCUCGGGCUCCUUUCUUGUCUCUGUCCGGGGAGUUCCUGGGGCAAAUCUGGUCUGAUGCACACCUAGGCCGAGCUACAGUUCGAGCCUCCACGCUAAGAAAAGCCACCGCCAGCAGCACCCUCCGCGCUUCCUCCCCGGCAGCUCUACAGUCCUCUCCCUGCUCGCAGAAGGUGAGGAGUGCGGUCACCAGUCCGUUGCGCCAAGGUGGAUUGGGGGGGGUCCCCCUACCGCCCAGACUCGAUUUGCAUCCUUCUUUCCACCUUAGCUGCGGGCCCCUGCCACCCGCGCUAACACCAUAACGUCCUCUGCACCGAAACUUCCCACCAAGUAACACCCAAUUAACCCCAUCCUCUCCUCCAACACAGAAUUCCACCCACGCACCUAUUCCCUCUCCCAGCACUUCAGACACCUCUCUCAUCGAAAAACUGGGCGAAGGGAAGCCGGCAACGAGCGGAGAACUCUGGUCGAAUUAAUGGCGGCUCCCAGAAGCUCCUGCCCCUCUGACAGCUGUCGCUUGGGCAGCCCGAGAGACGAAUUGUCCUCCUUCCUGGUGCCAGAGGACGCAGGAAAUUAGCCAGGUUGUGAGUUGCAAAGCUGCCGCCAAGGCGCCGGGAACUGGGCGCGCCCCACCUCCAGCAGGAGCCACCAGGCCUGGUUUGGCCUGGGCUUUCCCUCGCUCGCCAUUGCCGGACAAAGCGCAGCCGAGCCGGGCUGGAAGACAGAGCUCCGAAGCAGGCAGGAUGGAGCGGAGCAAAAGAAUGCGGCUCUAUUCUCGCAAGGGAAAUUAUAAAAAAGUUCAUGUUCACGGUUCCCAUCCACAUGACCGACAGCGGCCAAUGGAAGGGCCGAACAACUCAUAAAGUUGUAUUGCAAAGUUGUAAAUUUUCAUAAACAACAACGGAUUUAUGACCCUUUCCCCAUCACUGAGAGGAGGCAGCUCUUACACCGGCGCCAUCUUACCACUGAGGCCGCCCCGACUAGGGGCCUCAGGUUUUAUAGACCCUUUUGGGCCGGGUUUUAUUAAAAGAGCCCUAAGAAGCGGGCCCAACCCAGGCAGGAACCUGGAGACGAGGUCUUACCGGCAGAACACAGGAUGCUCUGAGCUGCCACCACAAUCCCUCGCCCUUCGCCUCUCGCCUCUUCCCCGCACCCAGACGCCCCUGCCCGUGCCCUGGCAGUACAACCCAGCGGGUGUCUGCGGUACUAGCCCCUACCCGCGCCACCUACUGCAGUGUCGGACUCUGGGGCGCCCUCGCCUCGGCUGCAGGCGGGGUGGGGGCCUUAAAAAUCCCAUUUCCUAGCCUGGGGCUGGGUUCAGGGCGCCUGCGAAAUCCGGAAUCAGUCGCUGCGUAAAGCCCCUUUCCAAACCCACUGCGCAGUCUUAGAGGAAAGGGUGGGUUUGAAAUUUCCUCGUGGAAUUUAUGAAGGUUUUUAGGGAGGUUCAUAGCAUAACCUAUCUACCGAAGAUUCCGUUUUCAAGGAAUCUAGAUGUUAGCGCACACACAAAAACCAGAUAAACGUCUCUACACGGAGAAAGGCACAUACACAAUUACGCACUCAGGGACGGGCAUACACUCUAUUGUGGGUACAGAAUGGCAUGCAAUUAUGGACACACAGAAACACAUGCACCCAAUUAUGGACACUAAAAUAUACGCAAUUGUGGAAUUAGGAAAAAAUACACACACAGAUACAUACAGAAAAAAUAAGCACAUACUCAUACAAAUACACAUACAAAAUACAUACAAAGAGACAUGACGCCAAUACAUGGGCACCCAACACUUGGACCAUCACAAGGUCAGCCACCCCACUUUUGCUUCCUCACUGCCUCUUGCCCUCCAGCCAUGCUCACCUCCCCUUUCACGUCCCCUCUGGAUAAAGCAGUCCACAUUUUUCUUUGUCACCAAGCAUCUUUAUUUUUCUGUUACAUAAAACACAGUUAACUGGGCUGGGAAGUGUGCCUUCCCUGAACCCCAGGAUGUAGCUGAGGGAGAUACAGGACAACACGGGAGAUGAAGGGCAUUGAGGAAGGCAUUGGACCUCCCCACUCACUACAGUUAGCUCAAGACAACACACCAUGCUACAAAGUCACCCCAAUAACACAUUCUUUCCAAGUCAAGACGCUGCCCUACAAAUGAACUCCAAGACUAUAGAAAUGACCCAAAAAAUCUUGUUCAAAUAUACAGUAUUUGUUAUUAUAGGAAACGUCAGGGUGUACAUAUUUAACACAGCUGAACAGCAAGAUAGGGGAGCCAGAGGAAAGGACAGUGAAGAUGGGAGCAUCUCCACAGUCCUACUAAGCAGAAGCUAACCCAGAGGUCUGCAGCCAGCCCAGGAACAUUCCCCUCCAGAAGUGGGGGGUGAUGGGCCUGAACUUUGGGUGCCAAGCCAGAGAAGGAGGGAUUCUAGGGUGCAGCACUUAUAAUGCUUUUUGGAAUAAAUAUAUUAUUUUUCAAUUUAAAUAGAUGCCACUACCCUGGUCCUGGACCUCAGCACAUUCUCAGGGCAGCCUCAGGGACCCCAAAGGCUGCCAGCUAUAAGCAGCAGGGGUCUUUCCUGGGAGCAGUCGGCACUAGGUAGCAGGCAAGCCAGCCAGCACGAAAUAGGUAGUUUUAGGGGAGUAGGUAGUAUUGAGAUUCACGUUCUUGGGGGUCUGGGAGGGUGGUGCUGGGUGUCUGCCAGUGUUGGGAUACAUAGGGGCUUCCUGGGAAUGGAGGCCCUCUGGGGCUGGAUACAUAGGUAGUUUGGGGGUGCCUCAAGCGGAGGCCUGUGCUAGGUAGUAUUUUGGCCGCGCCAGCGCGGGGCUGGCUAGCCUGGGACUGGGGGUGUCUGUUGGGGUCGUCAGAGACGAGGGAAUCCAAGGCGACCUAGUCUCUGUGGCCGCUCAGUCCAGAAAAGUUGGGAGCUGGAGUGGGUGAUGGGGAGGGUAGAAUGCAGGUUGGGGACUAGGUUUUCUGUUUUUUUGUUUUUUGUUUUUUUUUUACAUUUUCUUUUAUUUUUUCCAUUUUUGUAAAUAAAAUCAGUGAGUCUCUUAAAGACGCUUUUCCGACUGUCCGGUGCAGCAAGGGCCCCGGCUCGGCCCCUCAUUCCUCCUCGUCUUCUUCAUCAUCGUCCUCCUCGUCGGCCUUGUCCGCGGCAGCGCUGGCGGUGGCAGAGGGCACAUUGCCCUCGGGAGCUGCGGCAGCAGCAGGACAUUCGUCCUUAUGCUCUUUCUUCCACUUCAUGCGGCGGUUCUGGAACCAGAUCUUGAUCUGGCGCUCGGUGAGGCAGAGCGCGUGGGCGAUUUCAAUGCGGCGGCGCCGCGUCAGGUAGCGGUUGAAGUGGAACUCCUUCUCCAGCUCCAGCGUCUGGUAGCGCGUAUAGGUCUGGCGGCCCCGCUUCCUGUCAGGUCCUGAGAACAGACAUGCAGACACGUGAACACAGGACAGACAAGCAGAUAGGGCACUCGUUAGGCUGCUGUCCCAGAGCCCGCACCUUCCUCCUGGCCUAGUUCCAGGCGGGCAUCCCCCUCUGCCCCAGGCCUCGAACAGAGAUAGGGGAGGAGGGAGAGUGUUAGGGAAAGACCCGAACUGCAGGGCCAGACGCGCAGGCAGCUCUGUAAUGAGCAAAGGCGCAGAAACCCAACUUUACAACGGACCUUUCCAGCCGGCUAAGCGUCCACAAUGUCCUGCUUCCCCUGACAAAGGGAAACUGUAAAUAUAGAGUGUGGGCAAGCGGGAGACGCUGCACUUUUGCCAUUCAAAGAUGAGCCCGGCUGUUCCCAGGCCUUGCUAAGCAAGUGGGCGACCCUUCCCAACAGCCUGAGCCCUUAUCCCCAGGACCUUCCUAGGGCACCCCGACCCUCUGUCUUCAUUUCCUCACGCCCAUCUUGAAAUGGCCCCGGGCACAGGGUCGCAUUAGAGGCCAUGGAGGGCUUGGCUCUCCCGGCUUUUGAGAAAGAAAAGCCAGGCAGCAAGGAAAAGGAGGUGGAGGGAGGGAGAGAAGAAAGGCAGGGAGGGUGACAGAGAAGGGAGAGAGAAUAGCGAACAAACUUAACGUUAAAAUUCUAAGGCAAAUGGAGUUAAAUAAAUUUACGAGGAUCGAACCCAUUAA
Sapajus apella (tufted capuchin) is the source of this 4903-nucleotide long non-coding RNA. RefSeq lists it as uncharacterized. The record is from RefSeq and is a predicted model, not a curated record. The transcript has 2 exons. NCBI's taxonomy places the organism in Eukaryota, Metazoa, Chordata, Mammalia, Primates, Cebidae.